Molecule: ribosomal RNA, 786 nt
Filed under: Hyphomicrobiales bacterium
Lineage: Bacteria; Pseudomonadati; Pseudomonadota; Alphaproteobacteria; Hyphomicrobiales
Description: bacterial SSU rRNA
Rfam family: Bacterial small subunit ribosomal RNA
Source: RNAcentral
UGCAGUCGAACGCAUCCUUCGGGGUGAGUGGCAGACGGGUGAGUAACACGUGGGAACGUACCCCUUUGUUCGGAAUAACCCUGGGAAACUAGGGCUAAUACCGGAUACGGCCGGAAGGCGAAAGGUUUACUGCAGAGGGAUCGGCCCGCGUCCGAUUAGCUAGUUGGUGUGGUAAUGGCGCACCAAGGCGACGAUCGGUAGCUGGUCUGAGAGGAUGGCCAGCCACAUUGGGACUGAGACACGGCCCAAACUCCUACGGGAGGCAGCAGUGGGGAAUAUUGGACAAUGGGCGCAAGCCUGAUCCAGCCAUGCCGCGUGAGUGAUGACGGCCUUAGGGUUGUAAAGCUCUUUUACCUGGGAAGAUAAUGACGGUACCAGGAGAAUAAGCCCCGGCUAACUUCGUGCCAGCAGCCGCGGUAAUACGAAGGGGGCUAGCGUUGUUCGGAUUUACUGGGCGUAAAGGGCGCGUAGGCGGACUGAUAAGUCAGGGGUGAAAUCCCAAGGCUCAACCUUGGAACUGCCUUUGAUACUGUUUGUCUUGAGUUCGAGAGAGGUAAGUGGAACUGCGAGUGUAGAGGUGAAAUUCGUAGAUAUUCGCAAGAACACCAGUGGCGAAGGCGGCUUACUGGCUCGAAACUGACGCUGAGGCGCGAAAGCGUGGGGAGCAAACAGGAUUAGAUACCCUGGUAGUCCACGCCUUAAACGAUGGAUGCUAGCCGUCGGGCAGCUUGCUGCUCUGUGGCGCCGUUAACACAUUAAGCAUCCGCCUGGGAGUACGUCGCAGAU